CAGUAGCCGCGGGAAUACGAAGGGGGCUAGCGUUGUUCGGAAUUACUGGGCGUAAAGGGCGCGUAGGCGGCCAUUCAAGUUAGAUGUGAAAGCCCUGGGCUCAACCUAGGAAUUGCAUUUGAUACUGUUUGGCUUGAGUUCGGGAGAGGUGAGUGGAAUUCCCAGUGUAGAGGUGAAAUUCGUAGAUAUUGGGAAGAACACCAGUGGCGAAGGCAGCUCACUGGACCGACACUGACGCUGAGGCGCGAAAGCUGGGGGAGCAAACAGGAUUAGAUACCCCCGUAGUCCCUGUCUCUUAUAC
Molecule: ribosomal RNA, 301 nt
Filed under: uncultured bacterium
Lineage: Bacteria
Description: partial 16S ribosomal RNA
Rfam family: Bacterial small subunit ribosomal RNA
Source: RNAcentral